This 22-nucleotide small nuclear RNA is filed under the name Arabidopsis thaliana (thale cress). Its description in RNAcentral is "snRNA_03930". Lineage: Eukaryota; Viridiplantae; Streptophyta; Magnoliopsida; Brassicales; Brassicaceae. The record is from RNAcentral.
UCAUAACCGCAUCAGGUCUCCA